UGACUGGGUGGUUGGUUGCGCUUGUGUGCGUGAUUUGGUGCAACCCCCGCGCCUUGCGUGCGUUGUUCCAUCAAUGGUUAUUGUGGGGGGUGGUGCGCGGUUGGUUGGUUGAUGGGGUGGCGGUGGUGAAGAAGUUGAUGCCGCUGCUGCAACCAUCCGAGAGCGCGACGGUGCUGCGGUGGAUGCAUGGCCCUCAUCGUCGUCGUCGCGUCGGACGCGAUUUUGUGUUGGAUUUGUUUGCAUGCACUAGUGUGAGUGCGUGGCGCUCGAUGGAAAAGACGAACGAACGGGAGUGUUUGUAUUAGCUAGCAGGAAAGUAGUCGCUGGCCCCGUCCGUCGUCGAUGCAAUCCAAGUUUGUGAAAAUAGUGCGUUUUCCAGUAGUCCAGCAGCGGAUUUUUGUCUCGUUUGAAAGUGAAUUGCAACUGUUUGUCAAGGUUUCGAAAGUGCUUUUUGUGGGCGCGAGAAGCAAACGAUGAAUUUCGGUGCAAAGUUCGACUGCAGGAAGAAAAGUGCCAAUAUGUUUAGGCAGUAGCCCCACGGAAUGUGCGAAGGGAAGGUGGAGAAUAUCCUAAAUUUUUCCUGGUGUGAAAGUUCUCCAUCUCCAUUAAAAAAUACAACAGUGGCAUUCCGCGAAGGUAUUCGUGUGGAUUGAAUGAAAUCAAAAGAAAAAUCAAGUGAAAGUGAUUUUCUGCUUCCGAGUGAAGAGUGUGUUUCAUUGUACAACGCCUACUGAAGUGUGGUGAAUAAAUUCAUUAAUUUGCACUACUGAAACGUCAAAAUCCGACCGACCAUCAACACGAACGACGAUCAACGCAGUCGGGAGAUUUCGUGCAUGUAUUGGUGCAAGCGAGUCCGGAAUCUCGCGGAUAGAGAAGAAUAUCGCACACUCAAAUGAAUGAAAAUUACUAAAAAAUGAUUGUACAAAAGUGAAAGAGCUCAUCAACGGCUCAGUGCAGCAACAGAGCAGAAAAGCAAAAUAAAGUGGGAAAUCCCGAAGUUUGAAUGUUGUUACACCCCCAGAUUAUUGUCGGGAAUAUAUUUUUGUGAAUGUGAUGUGACCAGCAGCGUACUUGGAUCCAAAUCGAAGAAGUUAUCCCUGUUGCAAAAGUGAUUCCGACUGAUGACGAGAGUGUUGUACUAGUUAGUGUAGCUGUGGAUUGAUUUUUAGUUUCGGUGUUUGGAUUACCACCGUUCAGCGGAGAGCAUCAGAAGAAGGAAAAAGCAGAGUUUGUACAAUACUGUAAGUGCAGUGAGAG
Molecule: long non-coding RNA, 1257 nt
Organism: Aedes albopictus (Asian tiger mosquito)
Lineage: Eukaryota; Metazoa; Arthropoda; Insecta; Diptera; Culicidae
Exons: 2
Source: RefSeq, a predicted model, not a curated record